GGAUGCGAUCAUACCAGCACUAAAGCACCGGAUCCCAUCAGAACUCCGAAGUUAAGCGUGCUUGGGCUAUAGUAGUACUAGGAUGGGUGACCUCCUGGGAAGUCCUCGUGUUGCAUUCC
This 119-nucleotide ribosomal RNA is filed under the name Triticum aestivum (bread wheat). The record is from RNAcentral. Lineage: Eukaryota; Viridiplantae; Streptophyta; Magnoliopsida; Poales; Poaceae.